This 1009-nucleotide ribosomal RNA is filed under the name Bradyrhizobium sp. RNAcentral's name for it is "bacterial SSU rRNA". It matches the Rfam family "Bacterial small subunit ribosomal RNA", at positions 38 to 1088 of the family's 1533-position model. The record is from RNAcentral. Lineage: Bacteria; Pseudomonadati; Pseudomonadota; Alphaproteobacteria; Hyphomicrobiales; Nitrobacteraceae.
GGCGGCAGGCUUUACUAAUGCAAGUCGAGCGGGCAUAACUAUCUGUCAGCGGCAGACGUGUGAGUGACGCGUGGAAACGCACCUUUUGGUUCUGAACAGCUGAGGGAAACUUCUCCUAAUACCCGAUAACCCCUUACGGAAAAACAUUUAUCGCCGAAGGUUCGGCCCGCGUCAGAUUAUCUUGUUGGAGAGGUAAUGGCUCCCCAAGGCGACUAUCAUUAGCUGGUCUGAAAGGAUGAUCAAGGACAUUGUGACUGACACACCUGACAAACUCCUACGGCACGCGGGACUGGAGAAUAUUGGACAAUGGGCGCAAGCCUGAUCCAGCCAUGCCGCGUGAGUGAGGACGGCCCUCUGGUUGUAAAGCUCUUUUGUGCGGGAAGAUAAUGACGGUACCGCAAGAAUAAGCCCCGGCUAACUUCGUGCCAGCAGCCGCGGGAAUACAACUGGGGCUAACGUUGCUCGAAAUCCCUGGGCAUAAACGGUGCGUAAGCCGGUCUUUAAGUCAGGGGUGAAAUCCUGGACCUCAACUCCGGAACUGCCUUUCAUACUGAAGAUCUUGAAUUCCGGAUAGGUGAGUGGAACUGCCAGUGUAGAAGUGUCAUUCGUAAAUGUUCACCUUAACUGCAGAGGAGAAGGCGGGUCACUGGCCUGAUACUGACGCUGAGGCACAAAAGCGUGGGGAGCAAACAGGAUUAGAUAACUUGCUGGUCUACGCCUGACACGAUGAAUGCCAGCCGUUAGUGGCUUUACUCACUAGUGACGCAGCUAACCCUUUCAGCAUUCCAUCAGGGGAGUACGUUCGCAGGAUUCCAACUCAUAGGAAUUCACCGGGGCCCGCACAAGCGGUGUAUGAUGUGUACUAAUUCGACACUGUACGCAGAACCAUACCAGCCCUGGCCGUCCCAGUCGCGGACCCCGUAGAUGGAAUUCUUCAGAUCCGUUGGACCUGAGACAGGUGCGACAUGGCUGACAUCUGCUCGUGACGCGAGAUGCUGUGUUACGUCCC